RNAcentral lists this ribosomal RNA (394 nucleotides) under uncultured bacterium. Its description in RNAcentral is "bacterial SSU rRNA". It matches the Rfam family "Bacterial small subunit ribosomal RNA", at positions 29 to 426 of the family's 1533-position model. The record is from RNAcentral.
AUUGAACGCUGGCGGCAUGCCUAACACAUGCAAGUCGAACGGCAGCGCGGGGGCAACCCUGGCGGCGAGUGGCGGACGGGUGAGGAAUACAUCGGAAUCUACCUUCUGGUGGGGGAUAACCAGCCGAAAGGCUGGCUAAUACCGCAUAAGACCGAGAGGUGAAAGCGGGGGACCGAAAGGCCUCGCGCGAGAAGAUGAGCCGAUGUCCGAUUAGCUAGUUGGCGGGGUAAGAGCCCACCAAGGCGACGAUCGGUAGCUGGUCUGAGAGGAUGAUCAGCCACACUGGGACUGAGACACGGCCCAGACUCCUACGGGAGGCAGCAGUGGGGAAUAUUGGACAAUGGGCGCAAGCCUGAUCCAGCAAUGCCGCGUGUGUGAAGAAGGCCUCGGUUGU